RNAcentral lists this transfer RNA (72 nucleotides) under Camelus bactrianus (Bactrian camel). It matches the Rfam family "tRNA". Rfam says of the family: Transfer RNA (tRNA) molecules are approximately 80 nucleotides in length. Their secondary structure includes four short double-helical elements and three loops (D, anti-codon, and T loops). Lineage: Eukaryota; Metazoa; Chordata; Mammalia; Artiodactyla; Camelidae. The record is from Rfam by way of RNAcentral. RNAcentral also lists the same sequence under 2 other names.
GAAGGUAUAGCUCAGUGGUAGAGCACUUGCUUAGCAUGCAUGAGUUCUUGGGUUCAAUCCCCAGUACCUCCA